AUACGUAGGGUGCGAGCGUUGUCCGGAAUUACUGGGCGUAAAGAGCUCGUAGGUGGUUUGUCGCGUCGUCUGUGAAAUUCCGGGGCUUAACUCCGGGCGUGCAGGCGAUACGGGCAUAACUUGAGUACUGUAGGGGAGACUGGAAUUCCUGGUGUAGCGGUGAAAUGCGCAGAUAUCAGGAGGAACACCGGUGGCGAAGGCGGGUCUCUGGGCAGUAACUGACGCUGAGGAGCGAAAGCAUGGGUAGCGAACAGGAUUAGAUACCCGGGUAGUCCAUGCCGUAAACGGUGGGCGCUAGGUGUAGGGGUCUUCCACGACUUCUGUGCCGUAGCUAACGCAUUAAGCGCCCCGCCUGGGGAGUACGGCCGCAAGGCUAAAACUCAAAUGAAUUGACGGG
Molecule: ribosomal RNA, 397 nt
Filed under: uncultured bacterium
Lineage: Bacteria
Description: partial 16S ribosomal RNA
Rfam family: Bacterial small subunit ribosomal RNA
Source: RNAcentral